CAUCGCCUCUUGACUAAACAUAAGAGGUCCAGCCUGCCCAGUGACAUAGUUUAACGGCCGCGGUACCCUAACCGUGCGAAGGUAGCAUAAUCACUUGUUCUUUAAAUAGGGACUUGUAUCAACGGCAUCACGAGGGCUGUACUGUCUCCUUUCUCCAAUCAGUGAAACUGAUCUCCCCGUGAAGAAGCGGGGAUGAACCUAUAAGACGAGAAGACCCCAUGGAGCUUUAAACCCAUCAUACACCUCUGUAUAUUUAAAUCAACAUAACCCAAGAGGCUGUAUGCUGGUUUUAGGUUGGGGGGACCGCGGAGUAAAAUUAAACCUCCACGACAGACGGGCUAACACCCUUAUCUACGAACCACAAUUCUAAGAACCAAUAAAUUGUUGUCUAGUGACCCAAUAUUUGAUCAACGAACUAAGUUACCCUGGGGAUAACAGCGCAAUCUACUUCAAGAGCCCCUAUCGACAAGUGGGUUUACGACCUCGAUGUUGGAUCAGGGUGUCCUAGUGGUGCAGCCGCUACUAAAGG
RNAcentral lists this ribosomal RNA (529 nucleotides) under Amolops chunganensis (Chungan torrent frog). Its description in RNAcentral is "partial large subunit ribosomal RNA". It matches the Rfam family "Bacterial large subunit ribosomal RNA", at positions 1816 to 2571 of the family's 2925-position model. Lineage: Eukaryota; Metazoa; Chordata; Amphibia; Anura; Ranidae. The record is from RNAcentral.